RNAcentral lists this ribosomal RNA (492 nucleotides) under uncultured bacterium. RNAcentral's name for it is "partial 16S ribosomal RNA". It matches the Rfam family "Bacterial small subunit ribosomal RNA", at positions 30 to 507 of the family's 1533-position model. The record is from RNAcentral.
AUUGAACGCUGGCGGCAUGCUUUACACAUGCAAGUCGAACGGUAACAGGCCUUCGGGUGCUGACGAGUGGCGAACGGGUGAGUAAUGCAUCGGAACGUGCCCAGAGGUGGGGGAUAACGCAGCGAAAGCUGUGCUAAUACCGCAUGUGAUCUGAGGAUGAAAGCGGGGGACCAGGCAGCAAUGUUUGGCCUCGCGCCUUUGGAGCGGCCGAUGUCAGAUUAGGUAGUUGGUGGGGUAAAGGCCUACCAAGCCGACGAUCUGUAGCUGGUCUGAGAGGGCGACCAGCCACACUGGGACUGAGACACGGCCCAGACUCCUACGGGAGGCAGCAGUGGGGAAUUUUGGACAAUGGGCGCAAGCCUGAUCCAGCAAUGCCGCGUGCGGGAAGAAGGCCUUCGGGUUGUAAACCGCUUUUGUACGGAACGAAAAGGCUCUGGCUAAUACCUGGGGCUGAUGACGGUACCGUAAGAAUAAGCACCGGCUAACUACGUG